RNAcentral lists this ribosomal RNA (1214 nucleotides) under metagenome. RNAcentral's name for it is "bacterial SSU rRNA". It matches the Rfam family "Bacterial small subunit ribosomal RNA", at positions 273 to 1498 of the family's 1533-position model. The record is from RNAcentral.
GCUACGAUCAGUAGGGGUUCUGAGAGGAAGGUCCCCCACAUUGGAACUGAGACACGGUCCAAACUCCUACGGGAGGCAGCAGUGAGGAAUAUUGGUCAAUGGACGGGAGUCUGAACCAGCCAAGUAGCGUGCAGGACGACGGCCCUAUGGGUUGUAAACUGCUUUUAUAGGGGGAUAAAGUGUGCCACGUGUGGCAUAUUGCAGGUACCCUAUGAAUAAGGACCGGCUAAUUCCGUGCCAGCAGCCGCGGUAAUACGGAAGGUCCGGGCGUUAUCCGGAUUUAUUGGGUUUAAAGGGAGCGUAGGCCGUCUUAUAAGCGUGUUGUGAAAUGUCGGGGCUCAACCUGGGCAUUGCAGCGCGAACUGUGAGACUUGAGUGCGCAGGAAGUAGGCGGAAUUCGUCGUGUAGCGGUGAAAUGCUUAGAUAUGACGAAGAACUCCGAUUGCGAAGGCAGCCUGCUGUAGCGCAACUGACGCUGAAGCUCGAAAGCGUGGGUAUCGAACAGGAUUAGAUACCCUGGUAGUCCACGCGGUAAACGAUGGAUGCUCGCUGUUUGCGUCUGACGUAAGCGGCCAAGCGAAAGCGUUAAGCAUCCCACCUGGGGAGUACGCCGGCAACGGUGAAACUCAAAGGAAUUGACGGGGGCCCGCACAAGCGGAGGAACAUGUGGUUUAAUUCGAUGAUACGCGAGGAACCUUACCCGGGCUUGAACUGUAGGCGAACGAUUCAGAGAUGAAGAGGCCCUUCGGGGCGCCUAUGGAGGUGCUGCAUGGUUGUCGUCAGCUCGUGCCGUGAGGUGUCGGCUUAAGUGCCAUAACGAGCGCAACCCUUGUUCGUAGUUGCCAUCGGGUUAUGCCGGGCACUCUGCGAAGACUGCCUCCGUAAGGAGUGAGGAAGGUGGGGAUGACGUCAAAUCAGCACGGCCCUUACGUCCGGGGCUACACACGUGUUACAAUGGCAUGUACAGAAAGCUGGGUGUAUGCAAAUACGCUCGAAUCCCUAAAACAUGUCUCAGUUCGGACUGGGGUCUGCAACCCGACCCCACGAAGCUGGAUUCGCUAGUAAUCGCGCAUCAGCCAUGGCGCGGUGAAUACGUUCCCGGGCCUUGUACACACCGCCCGUCAAGCCAUGAAAGCCGGGGGCGCCUAAAGUCCGUGACCGCGAGGGUCGGCCUAGGGUGAAACCGGUGAUUGGGGCUAAGUCGUAACAAGGUA